GAUGAACGCUGGCGGCGUGCCUAAUACAUGCAAGUCGAGAGAACGGACGAGAAGCUUGCUUUUCUGAUGUUAGCGGCGGACGGGUGAGUAACACGUGGAUAACCUACCUAUAAGACUGGGAUAACUUCGGGAAACCGGAGCUAAUACCGGAUAAUAUUUUGAACCGCAUGGUUCAAAAGUGAAAGACGGUCUUGCUGUCACUUAUAGAUGGAUCCGCGCUGCAUUAGCUAGUUGGUAAGGUAACGGCUUACCAAGGCAACGAUGCAUAGCCGACCUGAGAGGGUGAUCGGCCACACUGGAAUUGAGACACGGUCCAGACUCCUACGGGAGGCAGCAGUAGGGAAUCUUCCGCAAUGGGCGAAAGCCUGACGGAGCAACGCCGCGUGAGUGAUGAAGGUCUUCGGAUCGUAAAACUCUGUUAUUAGGGAAGAACAUAUGUGUAAGUAACUGUGCACAUCUUGACGGUACCUAAUCAGAAAGCCACGGCUAACUACGU
Molecule: ribosomal RNA, 496 nt
Filed under: uncultured bacterium
Lineage: Bacteria
Description: partial 16S ribosomal RNA
Rfam family: Bacterial small subunit ribosomal RNA
Source: RNAcentral